RNAcentral lists this ribosomal RNA (313 nucleotides) under uncultured Capsellina. RNAcentral describes it as "partial 18S ribosomal RNA". The record is from RNAcentral. Lineage: Eukaryota; Cercozoa; Thecofilosea; Tectofilosida; Chlamydophryidae.
GACUUCUGGUUUAAUGCACCUGGCCCGCGGCCCACAAGGCCUGUGAGUGCCGGCGCGCGUUUACCAUCCUUCCAGCAACGGCUACCCCCUCUGACCGGCCAAUACUAGCACCCCCAACUAUCCCUAUCAAUCAUUACUUCAGUUAUAGAAACCAACAAAAUAGAACCGAAGUCCUAGAUUAUUAUUCCAUGCUAAUGUAUUCAGAGCAAACGCCUGCUUUAAACACUCUAAAUUUUUCAAAGUAAAAGAUCCAGUUCCAGCCGCCCAGUUAAGAAAUUCUUGGAUGGUCAAGACUAACUUAUGCGAAAGCAUU